GGUUCGAUCAUGGCUCAGAUUGAACGCUGGCGGGAUGCUUUACACAUGCAAGUCGAACGGCAGCACGGACUUCGGUCUGGUGGCGAGUGGCGAACGGGUGAGUAAUGUAUCGGAACGUGCCUAGUAGCGGGGGAUAACUACGCGAAAGCGUAGCUAAUACCGCAUACGCCCUUCGAGGGAAAGCGGGGGACCUUCGGGCCUCGCACUAUUAAACGGCCGAUAUCGGAUUAGCUAGUUGGUGGGGUAACGGCUCGCAAAGGCGACGAUCCGUAGCUGGUUUGAGAGGACGACCAGCCACACUGGGACGAGACACGGCCCAGACUCCUACGAGGCAGCAGUGGGGAAUUUGGACAAUGGAAACCUGAUCCAGCCAUCCCGCGUGUGCGAUGAGGCCUUCGGGUUGUAAAGCACUUUUGGCAGGAAAGAAACGGCACGGGAUAAUACCCCGUGCAACUGACGGUACCUGCAGAAUAAGCACCGGCUAACUACGUGCCAGCAGCCGCGGUAAUACGUAAGGUGCAAGCGUUAAUCGGAAUUACCUGGGCGUAAAGCGUGCGCAGGCGGUUCGGAAAGAAGAUGUGAAAUCCCAGAGCUUAACUUUGGAACUGCGUUUUUAACUACCGAGCUAGAGUGUGUCAGAGGGAGGUGGAAUUCCGCGAUAACCAGUGAAAUGCGUGAAUAUGCCGGAGGAACACCGAUGGCGAAGGCAGCCUCCUGGGAUAACACUGACGCUCAUGUGCACGAAAGCGUGGGGAGCAAACAGGAUUAGAUACCUGGUAGUCCACGCCCUAAACGAUGUCAACUAGCUGUUGGGGCCUUUAAGACGCCCGGUAGCGCAACUAACGCGUGAAGUUGACCGCCUGGGAAGUACGGUCGCAAGAUUAAAAACUCAAAGGAAUUGACGGGGACCCGCACAAGCGGUGGAUGAUGUGGAUUAAUUCGAUGCAACGCGAAAAACCCUUACCUACCCUUGACAUGUCUGGAAUCCCGAAGAGAUUUGGGAGUGCUCGCAAGAGAACCGGAACACAGGUGCUGCAUGGCUGUCGUCAGCUCGUGUCGUGAGAUGUUGGGUUAAGUCCGCAACGAGCGCAACCCCUUAUAUUGGAUUGCUGAAAGGGCACUCUAAUGAGACUGCCGGUGACAAACCGGAGGGAGGUGGGGAUGACGUCAAGUCCUCAUGGCCCUUAUGGGUAGGGCUUCACACGUCAUACAAUGGUCGGGACAGAGGGUCGCCAACCCGCGAGGGGAACCAAUCCCGAGGCCGAUCGUAGUCCGGAUCGCAGUCUGCAACUCGACUGCGUGAAGUCGGAAUCGCUAGUAAUCGCCAGAUCAGCAUGUCGCAGUGAAUACGUUCCCGGGUCUUGUACACACCGCCCGUCACACCAUGGGAGUGGGUUUUACCAGAAGUAGUUAGCUAACCGUAAGGAGGCGAUUACCACGGUAGGAUUCAUGACUGGGGUGAAGUCGUAACAAGGUAA
Molecule: ribosomal RNA, 1478 nt
Filed under: uncultured Bordetella sp.
Lineage: Bacteria; Pseudomonadati; Pseudomonadota; Betaproteobacteria; Burkholderiales; Alcaligenaceae
Description: partial 16S-23S ribosomal RNA intergenic spacer
Rfam family: Bacterial small subunit ribosomal RNA
Source: RNAcentral